This 513-nucleotide ribosomal RNA is filed under the name uncultured bacterium. RNAcentral's name for it is "bacterial SSU rRNA". It matches the Rfam family "Bacterial small subunit ribosomal RNA", at positions 26 to 518 of the family's 1533-position model. The record is from RNAcentral.
AGGACGAACGCUGGCGGCGUGCCUAAUACAUGCAAGUCGAGCGGACUUGAUGGAGUGCUUGCACUCCUGAUGGUUAGCGGCGGACGGGUGAGUAACACGUAGGCAACCUGCCCGUAAGACUGGGAUAACUACCGGAAACGGUAGCUAAUACCGGAUACGCAAGUUUCUCGCAUGGGGGACUUGGGAAAGGCGGAGCAAUCUGUCACUUACGGAUGGGCCUGCGGCGCAUUAGCUAGUUGGUGGGGUAACGGCUCACCAAGGCGACGAUGCGCAGCCGACCUGAGAGGGUGAACGGCCGCACUGGGACUGAGACACGGCCCAGACUCCUACGGGAGGCAGCAGUAGGGAAUCUUCCGCAAUGGACGAAAGUCUGACGGAGCAACGCCGCGUGAGUGAAGAAGGUUUUCGGAUCGUAAAGCUCUGUUGCCAGGGAAGAACGUCUUCUGGAGUAACUGCCAGGAGAGUGACGGUACCUGAGAAGAAAGCCCCGGCUAACUACGUGCCAGCAGCGGC